Molecule: ribosomal RNA, 497 nt
Filed under: uncultured bacterium
Lineage: Bacteria
Description: partial 16S ribosomal RNA
Rfam family: Bacterial small subunit ribosomal RNA
Source: RNAcentral
GAUGAACGCUGGCGGCGUGCCUAAUACAUGCCAGUCGAGCGAACAGACGAGGAGCUUGCACCUCUGACGUUAGCGGCGGACGGGUGAGUAACACGUGGAUAACCUACCUCUAAGACUGGGAUAACUUCGGGAAACCGUAGCUAAUACCGGAUAAUAUAUUAAACCGCAUGGUUCAAUAGUGAAAGACGGUUUUGCUUUCACUUAUAGAUGGAUCCCGGCGGAAUUAGCUAGUUGGUAAGGUAACGGCUUACCAAGGCAACGAUGCGUAGCCGACCUGAGAGGUGGAUCGGCAACACGGGAACGGGGAAAGGGUCCAGACCCCUACGGGAGGAAGCAGUAGGGAAUCUCGGGAAAGGGGCGAAAGCCGGACGGAGCAACGCCGCUUGGGGGAGGAAGGUCUCCGGAUCUUAAAACUCUGUGAUUAGGGAAGAAGAAAGGGGUAAGUAACUAUGCACGUCUUGACGGUACCUAAUCAGAAAGCCACGGCUAACUACGUG